This is a long non-coding RNA of Octopus sinensis (East Asian common octopus), 340 nucleotides long. RefSeq lists it as uncharacterized. The transcript has 3 exons. The record is from RefSeq and is a predicted model, not a curated record. NCBI's taxonomy places the organism in Eukaryota, Metazoa, Mollusca, Cephalopoda, Octopoda, Octopodidae.
CUGAUCCUUCUAGCCUGUUCUGCGAUGCCUCUUCAGGCAUCAAUAUAUUUCAAUGUUGUUAAGGCUGCCUUCAGCACUUGUCUUCUUAUUGCAAUCACCAACGUCCAUUUGGGAAAUUAAUUAUCAUGUAUACAAUAUGUCCAUUUAUAUUCGUUUUAUAUUCCAACAAAAUGGAAAAUAAUAAGCAAGUAUUAGGUUUAGUUUCAUAUUCUUAUAAAGCAUUCAGGUUGUUGCUGUUAUUACUAUCAUCAUCAUCAUCAUCAUCAUCAAGGCAGUGAACUAGUAGAAUCAUUAGCAUGCCAGGCAAAAUGCUUAGCAGCAGUUCGUCCAUUUUUUUCAC